UACGGAGGGUGCGAGCGUUAAUCGGAAUUACUGGGCGUAAAGCGCGCGUAGGCGGUUUGGUCAGUCGGAUGUGAAAGCCCUAGGCUCAACCUGGGAAUGGCAUUCGAUACUGCCUGACUAGAGUAUGGUAGAGGGAAGUGGAAUUUCCGGUGUAGCGGUGAAAUGCGUAGAUAUCGGAAGGAACACCAGUGGCGAAGGCGACUUCCUGGGCCAAUACUGACGCUGAGGUGCGAAAGCGUGGGGAGCAAACAGG
RNAcentral lists this ribosomal RNA (253 nucleotides) under uncultured prokaryote. RNAcentral describes it as "partial 16S ribosomal RNA". It matches the Rfam family "Bacterial small subunit ribosomal RNA", at positions 524 to 776 of the family's 1533-position model. The record is from RNAcentral.